UGGCAUACAGAGAAAUGUCAUCUUUAUCGUUCUUGACAUGAUUGGUCACUGUUUGUGCAUUUUCAAUGUUUUGAAAUGAUGUUGAUAUGAUUAUUAUUGGUUCUUCGUACGUAAUUAAAUAAAUAUAAGACUAUAUAAUUUAGAUAUGAAUAUAUAGAGAUAUUUUUUUGUUAAACAUUAACAUUUCCCACUUGAGAUAUUCACUCACAUAUUCUCUCACAUAUUCUCUAACGAAUAUUUUUUUUCCACCAGCUCUAAUCUCAAUUGCCGGU
RNAcentral lists this long non-coding RNA (272 nucleotides) under Brassica napus (rape). RNAcentral describes it as "long non-coding RNA (BNAP_LNC005782)". The record is from RNAcentral. Lineage: Eukaryota; Viridiplantae; Streptophyta; Magnoliopsida; Brassicales; Brassicaceae.